This 400-nucleotide ribosomal RNA is filed under the name uncultured bacterium. RNAcentral's name for it is "bacterial SSU rRNA". It matches the Rfam family "Bacterial small subunit ribosomal RNA", at positions 975 to 1375 of the family's 1533-position model. The record is from RNAcentral.
CUGGACUAGAAUGUGAGGGAAUGUUGGGUAAUGCCAUCAGUCCGGGCAACCGGACCCAAAACAAGGUGCUGCAUGGCUGUCGUCAGCUCGUGUCGUGAGAUGUUGGGUUAAGUCCCGCAACGAGCGCAACCCUUAUCAACAGUUGCCAUCAUUAAGUUGGGAACUCUGUUGAGACUGCCGUUGAUAAAACGGAGGAAGGUGGGGAUGAUGUCAAGUCAUCAUGGCCUUUAUGUUCAGGGCUACACACGUGCUACAAUGGUCGGUACAAAACGUCGCAAUCCCGCGAGGGGGAGCUAAUCGCUAAAACCGAUCUCAGUUCGGAUUGAAGUCUGCAACUCGACUUCAUGAAGUUGGAAUCGCUAGUAAUCGCAAAUCAGCAUGUUGCGGUGAAUACGUUCCC